UUCUUCCUAACUUGGAUCUCUUUUUCACCGGGCAUAUGUAAUUCCAUUUUUGGUCCUUGAAAGCCCUGUAUCUGAUUUUCCUCCGAGACAAGCCGCACGGGAGAAAAUCUUGUAUGGUUUAAUUACGAAAUUGUCACUGCGUAAAACCCUGGCGAAGUGCGGCACUAAAAUCUCGUCUCUCGUCCUCUUUCAUCAAAAAUCUUCCCAUUCAUUCCCAUAGCCGCCUCGCCCUCAUUCCUCUGAAUCUCUUGCAACCAUCAAUUCUCUUUUUAUUAGUAUUUGCUUUCGCAAGCAGCCCCUCAAUGGCGAAGAACAAAAGAAAACGAAACCAAAAUCCACAACCUUUUGAAGCAGAUGACGAUUCCGUUGCCUCCACAAAGAAACGCUUCAGAGCGGCCAAACACCACCAAAAACAAGACAAAAUGAUUUCUUAUGGGAUGAGUUUGAAAAUCGUGAAAGAAGUGCUUCUUCAGCAGAAGGAAAUAGAUGAGGAAGACUCAGCAGGGAAUUUUAAUGGCGCAUUUGGUUCUGUUGAAGAAGAGCGGAAUAAGCAUGAAGAAGAAGAGGAUAUUGAUGAUUUUGGUGGAUUUUCUGAGACGCAAAGUCAGUUUGGCAACUAUGAAGACAUUGAUGAGGAAGAUGAGAAAUUGCUGGAGGCAUUCUUGUCGAGGAAUGCUGGUCCAGAAAGGACGCUUGCGGACCUUAUAAUUCAGAAGAUCAAGGAGAGUGAUGCAAAUGCUGCUUCAGAAACACGACCUUUGCCUAAGUUGGAUGACUCCCUCAUAGAUUUGUAUAAGGGAGUUGGAAAGUUUCUGAACAAAUACACAGCAGGGAAAAUGCCCAAGGCCUUUAAACACAUUCCGUCAAUGCUACUCUGGGAGGAUGUUCUGUACUUGACUGAACUUGAGUAUUGGUCUCCGAAUGCGAUGUUUCAAGCCACAAAAAUAUUUGCUUCCAAUUUGGGUGCUAAGAAGGCAGAGCGUUUUUAUAGGCUAGUCUUGCUUCCUCGUGUUAGAGAUGAUAUUCGGAAGAAUAAACGUCUUCAUUUUGCACUUUAUCAGUCUUUGACAAAGGCUUUAUACAAAGCUGCUGCAUUCAACAAGGGAAUAUUGUUGCCUUUGUGUAAGUCAGGGACAUGCAAUCUCAGGGAGGCUGAUAUUAUUGGGAGUGUUCUUCAAAAAGUCUCCUUUCCUAGGCUUCACUCAAGUGUUGCAUUAAUGAUGCUUGCGGAGAUGGAAUUCUGUGGCACAACAAGUUAUUUUAUAAAGCUUCUUUUGGAGAAGAAGUAUGCUCUGCCAUAUUGUGUUGUUGAUGCAGUUGUUUCUCAUUUUAUGAGAUUUCUUGAGGAUACAAGGAUAAUGCCUGUCAUAUGGCAUCAGUCGCUUCUGGCAUUUGUGCAAAGGUACAAAAAUUGUGCAAGGAAGAUAAAGAUAAUCUUAGAAUUCUAGCUGAGACACAAAAGCAUAAAUUCGUUACUCCCGAAAUUAUUAGGGAGCUAGAUAACAGCCGCAAUCGUGGUGAGGAGGAUGACCUUAUUUUGAUGGAUAUCCUUUUCUCUUCUAGUGUUCUUUUCAUUUGAUGUUUUUGAAUGUAAGCAUUUUAUUACAUUACAGAUUUUUGUCCUUUUAUUGAUGUAAUAUUGCUUGUGUAUAUAUUUGUUCUUAGGCUUUAGAAUUUAUAAUAUACUGAAUGUGUUUCAGGAAGUUGAUAUAUCAGUGGGGAAAGCUAUGAAAAAUGUCUUGUAAUGUGUUAGGAAGCAAGAUAUCAUAAUGUAGGUUGUAAGUUGUAACUAGCUAGUUGUUUUAAUGCUUCAUAAAAAGAGAGAUCUGAGGAUUGACAUCCAUCAGUUCAAUAUUAAAUUUACAAGAUAUGUAUGCUUGAUCACACAUUUUAGAAAAAGAGAGAAUGCCUGAGAAUUGGAUGCUCUUAAUUAUGGUUUCUGCAUUUUUUAUAUCUCAUAUAAAAAUGGCUAUAUCUAUGUUUCCAACCAUACCUGUAACGUGCAUGCAUUUAAAUAGUACAGAUACAUUUCAAUUUUGGUAUCUGUUAUAUAUAAAGGCAUCUUCAAUAUUGAGUAUGUAUAUUUUCUCUGUUUUGGUCUGUGUAAAGAGUAAAUAUUUGUCUUUCCUUGACUUGAUGUUACCAUCUCCUAUUUCUGUGAUCAAUAAAGCAAUUGAGGAAGACAGGUUCGAUAUUCCAGAUGUACCUAUGGAGGAGGAUUGAUUGUUUAUGGCUGCUGGUAAUCCAAUUGAUUGCUUGCAAGAGCAAACAAUAAAUGGAACUUUGCCGUUGGACAUAGUUAGGUUCUCAAUGCAGGUUUUUCAUUUUUGGGAGGGUUAUUGGAGGAAGCCUCUUUGAUCGGGCAGUGGGAAACCUGUUUAGCAUUUGAGAUGUGAAGGAUGCAGGGACUAAAGUAGAAGUUAUCAAGGAGUUUAUAUACCUUAUACGGUCCUGGAAGUAAAUUUACAGUUGGCUGACCUUGGUGUCAAUGGGUUGUUGGGGACAAUUGCAGGAUGAAUUUGUCUUACCCAUUUUUACGUUUUUGUGGAAUUGAAAUAUAUAAUUAAAAGUUUGAUUUGGAUGGAAAA
This is a non-coding RNA of Theobroma cacao (cacao), 2588 nucleotides long. The record is from RefSeq and is a predicted model, not a curated record. NCBI's taxonomy places the organism in Eukaryota, Viridiplantae, Streptophyta, Magnoliopsida, Malvales, Malvaceae.